This is a small nuclear RNA of Spea bombifrons (plains spadefoot toad), 124 nucleotides long. NCBI's taxonomy places the organism in Eukaryota, Metazoa, Chordata, Amphibia, Anura, Pelobatidae. The record is from RefSeq and is a predicted model, not a curated record.
GUAUUGUAAGAGAGGAGAAAAGGUUAGAACUCCCCUGGGCAAGGAUGGAAUAGGUCUGUGUGACCUUUACAACUCAUAAAUGGUUGAGGCUUCUUGACUAAUCUCAGGGCAAUUAUUAAGUUUU